UACGUAGGGUGCAAGCGUUAAUCGGAAUUACUGGGCGUAAAGCGUGCGCAGGCGGUUUUGUAAGACAGGCGUGAAAUCCCCCGGGCUCAACCUGGGAAGUUGCGCUUGUUGACUGCAAGGACUGGAGUGCGGCAGAGGGGGAGUGGAAUUCCGCGUGUAGCAGUGAAAUAGCGUAGAUAUGCGGAGGAACACCGAUGGCGAAGGCAAUCCCCUGGGCCUGCACUGACGCUCAUGCACGAAAGCGUGGGGAGCAAACAGGAUUAGAUACCCGGGUAGU
RNAcentral lists this ribosomal RNA (277 nucleotides) under uncultured bacterium. RNAcentral's name for it is "partial 16S ribosomal RNA". It matches the Rfam family "Bacterial small subunit ribosomal RNA", at positions 524 to 794 of the family's 1533-position model. The record is from RNAcentral.